RNAcentral lists this ribosomal RNA (497 nucleotides) under uncultured bacterium. RNAcentral's name for it is "partial 16S ribosomal RNA". It matches the Rfam family "Bacterial small subunit ribosomal RNA", at positions 28 to 507 of the family's 1533-position model. The record is from RNAcentral.
GAUGAACGCUGGCGGCGUGCCUAAUACAUGCCAGUCGAGCGAACAGACGAGGAGCUUGCUCCUCUGACGUUAGCGGCGGACGGGUGAGUAACACGUGGAUAACCUACCUAUAAGACUGGGAUAACUUCGGGAAACCGGAGCUAAUACCGGAUAAUAUAUUGAACCGCAUGGUUCAAUAGUGAAGGACGGUUUUGCUGUCACUUAUAGAUGGAUCCGCGCCGCAUUAGCUAGUUGGUAAGGUAACGGCUUACCAAGGCGACGAUGCGUAGCCGACCUGAGAGGGUGAUCGGCCACACUGGAACUGAGACACGGUCCAGACUCCUACGGGAGGCAGCAGUAGGGAAUCUUCCGCAAUGGGCGAAAGCCUGACGGAGCAACGCCGCGUGAGUGAUGAAGGUCUUCGGAUCGUAAAACUCUGUUAUUAGGGAAGAACAAAUGUGUAAGUAACUAUGCACGUCUUGACGGUACCUAAUCAGAAAGCCACGGCUAACUACGUG